GAAACGGAGACCUCAUCAGGGUUCAACCACCACUCCUAACCCAUGGCACAACGAAAACAAUUAAAUUGGUCAACGAUCUCCGACGAUAACCUCUCCGGAUCCAACAAACGGUCUUCAAUCUCUGGGCAAGAAACCCGUUACUCCGUUUCGAUUCCUGUUGAUGUAAUCAUCAAUAUCUUGUCGAGACUCCCAUUGAAGUCUAUAGCUCAAUGUCGUUGCGUGUGUAAGCUCUGGUCUUCCAUAGCUCGCCGUCCAAAUUACAACCUGCUGUUCCCUAUCAAGUCUCCCGAUGAGACACCGAGGAUCCUAUUCGCCUUCAAAGUCGGAUCUAACUUGUUCUUCUACUCUUCGCCUCAACAUCAUCAAAACCCUGAUAACAAGAACAAUUCAGCCAUUGUAGCCACUCGUCACGACAUCAAUCUCGGCUCAGAUUUGCAACAGUUAUGUCGGCCUGUUCGGGGUCUGGUCUGUAGUCAACACAUUGGUAAGAAUUGCUCGUGGGCUGUGAUUUCUAAUCCCAUCACGGGAGAGAUUGUAACCACACCAAAACUGACCAUACAAGGUAUUCACUUGAAGGAGCGGGUAAGAGGCAAAGCAGACUACUGUUUUGGAUAUGAUCCAAUCGAUAAACAGUUCAAGGUGUUGCGUAUCACCAGGUUGUGUGGCAGCCCAGAACACAAAAUAUCUUUUUACGCAAAGUAUCAUGUCCUGACGUUAGGGACCGGAGCAUGGAGGAAGCUCCAAUGCAGCACUCUUCAUUACCCUCUAGAUGAAAACGGGAUUUGCGAGAACGGGAUUUGCAUCAAUGGUGUUUUGUUUUAUCCAGCCUUGGUUAAACAUAGAAAACAUAUGAUUGUUUGCUUUGAUGUUAGGUCUGAGAAGUUCAGCUUUGUCAGCGUUGAUUACGUUUUAGGAUUGCCCAUCCAUAGAUAUUCCGUUCUGAUAAACUGCAAUGGUAAAUUAGGUGUUAACUUUUGUGACGCUGCCUGUAAGCAUUUUGAGUUGUGGGUAUUGGAGGAUGCCACUAAACAUACAUGGUCGAAGCGUAUCUACAUAUCGCCUCAUGCGUCGCUGAACUGGGACAACUAUGUGCGCCCUGCUGGAAUGAUUGGUAGCGGAGAAAUUCUGUUAUACCGAAUGUAUACACACAAUCCUUUCAACAUCUUUUACUACAAUCUCGAGAAGAAGAUUAUCAGAAGAGUAACAUUUGAGGUCCCAGUAUUGGAAAAGUUUGAUCAUUUUGGAGCUUUCACAUUUGCAAACUAUGUAGAGGAUGUGAAGCUUAUAUGAGAGGUUGGUUGUAAUUUGAUGGCUUGAUUACUCUUCAGCGUGAAGUUGCCUAACACUGGAAUAUCACAGAUUAAUUAAUAUAGCAGUCCUGUUUCCCUAACUCGCAUGGGCAUAAAGAAUGAUUCGAGAAUCACAAAAGCAUAAGAAUCAAGAUCAGAGAUCUUUGCUGGGAGGAUAUUUAGGCAUGAAGCUUUGACAAAGCGCAACUAACGAGUGUGGUUGAAGAAUAAGAUCGGGUUUACUUUAACUGAACGAGCCUCUUACGUUUGGUCACAAUCUAGGGGUUAGUCCACCGCCAUGACGAACCAAAAGCAGCAGGUCGCCCACAGUGAUGUAAUUGAACACUUUGGUCUUAUCCAAGUUCAUCUUGUAAUUUCUGAAGUGCUUUGUAUCAGUUCGUGGAGUAUUACACAAGUUAGUACAGACUUGUGUUAAGAAGAUGGGAUGUGUUAGAUUUUAUGUUCUGUGAGGUACAAAUUUUAUUUUAUCUUAGAA
This is an RNA transcript of Brassica oleracea var. oleracea, 1785 nucleotides long. It is a transcript of the gene named putative F-box protein At1g53550, with no coding region annotated. The transcript has 3 exons. The record is from RefSeq and is a predicted model, not a curated record. NCBI's taxonomy places the organism in Eukaryota, Viridiplantae, Streptophyta, Magnoliopsida, Brassicales, Brassicaceae.